CACUUUGAUUUUUAUCAGAUAUUUGUCUUUGUGCUAAUAUAUGGUUAUGAAGUUCUACUGUUUCAGAUGGAUUUCGUUAAUAAGUGUUCAUGGGAUUAAUACAACAAUCUUCAGCAUUAAUACAAUUUUUCUUUUCUUUCACUAUAAAGGAUUCUUAUUCGUUUGGUUGUUGAAAGAUACCAAGAACUCUCAUCAAAACUAGAGUACAAUUUUCCAUUGAAGUAGCAAGAGUAGAUCUAUGGAGGUGCUUUCCAGGAUUUUGAAGUAACGUGAAGCUGAAUAUUGAAAAUAUGCAAAGACAAAAAGGCUCGAGCGGGAAUCAGGGAGGUUCACUUCCAUUGACUUACAUCGACAGCAGAAGGCAGUAGUCAAGGUGCUCUCCUGAUUAGGUGGUGCUAGAGAAAACGAAGGAAAGCCUAGGUGCAUGGUGCAACAUAUGGUAAUUUGUUGGAUUGUUGCCCCCAAGACAUGAAAGUACUGAAACCAUUGGAAGGGCUUUGACUCUCGGUGUUAACAUCAAGAUGAUCACUGGUGAAUUUGCUCACCCAUUGAUCGUGUUGUAAUAAUAAUACACCUUUGCCAUUUUCCACUAACAUUCUAUUGGACGACGUAGGCCAGAUAACCAGUUGUAAACUUGGAAUGGGAAUAAACAUGUAUCCAUCUUCGGCUUUUCUUGGUACGCACAAGUGGUAGGAACCAACAAACCCCAUGGAUGAAUAUGUCUCUCAAGUCUCAAUGGUUGUAAGUUUUGUCACGUAAGAGACAUGGAGAACAUACCUGGCAGAGAAUCAAGUGAAUUCCUCCAAAGAACUGAUCAGAUUAGAAAGAGCUAGUGUCUUGCGGCUGAAUAGGUAAACAUUCUUAGAAUAAAACUACUAGCAAAUUGGAAAUAUGUUAUACCCAUCUUUCUCAGAUUUUUUCAGAAUGGGAGAUAUGUAAAGGAAGGAACAAAUACUUUUGACAAACUAUUUAGGCCAUCGUCAAAGAUUUUGCAACAUACACAUCCAUUAAUUAGUAUUCAGUAGACAGUGGAAAGAAGUGUCUAAAGGAAACUUGAACCCAGAUGUCUGCAUAGAGGUAAAUCCACAUAAGAUCUCACACCCUCGGCCAAGUUCACAUCACACAUUAGAAUUAUAGAACCUUGACGUGUCUUUAUUCGGUGGAGCAUGGAAUUCUUCUCAUUGUAGAUCGCUGCUUGACAUUGUUUGACAAUCCACUGGUCGACUCUCUUCACACAACUUACAAUGAGCUCAAGCUUAAAAAUGGGUGUGUUCGGCAUUCUAAAUCAAUGUCACAAAGGAGACAAGCGGUAAGAACCACCAAACCCCAUUGACGAAGAUGGUCUCCUGGAAGAUUUGGCACGUAAGAGACGUAGAGAACAUACUUGUUGGAGCAUCAAAUGAUUUCCUCCAAAGAAAUUGAUUAGAUUGGGAAGACUAGUGUCUCGCGGCUGAAUAGGUAAGCAUGCUUGGAGCAUAACGGCUAGCGGCAAUGUCCAACUGCCAUUAGGAACAACCUGAAAAUCUACAUCGACCUCUUUGAUAGCGUGAUAUAGUCAUGUGUGCAUGCAUACAUUCAUAUGUGCAUACAUUCAUACAUCCAUACAUUCAUGCAUACAUUCAUACAUUCAUACAUUCAUACAUUCAUACAUCCAUACAUGCAUGCAUACAUUCAUACAUGCAUACAUUCAUACAUUCAUACAUCCAUACAUGCAUACAUUCAUAUAUACAUGCAUGCUUACAUUCAUGCAUGAAUCUAUGCAUAUUUGCUUUCUUGAUUUAUUGAUUGCUUAUUUACUUAUUUGAUUUCUUAACUAGCUUGCUUGUUUUUUUUUUCUCUCUGUUUACUUACAUUUAUAACUUGUUUACUUCUUGUUUGUUUCUUUGAUUAUUUGAUCGUUACUCACUCCAUAUUGCUUCAUUUCAUUUCUUAAUCUGUGUGUUUACUUCCUUCUUAUUCCCUUCAUUGUUUGCUCAGACCGUACAUGCAAUUCACUUGUUUACUUAUCGUCAAUUUCUUGAUUUCUUUGAUUAUUUGGCAGUCGCUUAUUCAACUGAUUCAUUCAUGGCUUAGCUCUUUCACAUGUUUCC
RNAcentral lists this small RNA (2090 nucleotides) under Arabidopsis thaliana (thale cress). Its description in RNAcentral is "putative long intergenic non-coding RNA". The record is from RNAcentral. Lineage: Eukaryota; Viridiplantae; Streptophyta; Magnoliopsida; Brassicales; Brassicaceae.